GCUAGCGGCGCGCUUAAUGCAUGCAAGUCGAGCGAUGAGACUCCUACGGGAGCACAUCAGCGGCAGACGGGUGAGUAACACGUAGAUGACGUACCCUCAAGACGGGGAUAACGGAUGGAAACAUGCGCUAAUACCGGAUGACCUUACGAUGUCAGAAUGGUAAGGAAAGCUACGGCGCUUGAGGAGCGGUCUGCGGCCCAUCAGCUAGUUGGUAGGGUAAAGGCCUACCAAGGCGAAGACGGGUAGGGGGUGUGAGAGCACGGCCCCCCACAAUGGGACUGAGACACGGCUCAUACUCCUACGGGAGGCAGCAGCAGGGAAUAUUGCACAAUGGACGGAAGUCUGAUGCAGCGACGCCGCGUGAGUGAAGAAGGCCUUCGGGUUGUAAAACUCUUUUGAGGGGGAAGAGCGAGGACGGUACCCCUGGAAUAAGCGUCGGCUAACUACGUGCCAGCAGCCGCGGUAAGACGUAGGACGCGAGCGUUAUCCGGAUUUACUGGGCGUAAAGCGUCUGUAGGCGGAUGUGUAAGUUGGGCGUGAAAGCUCCGGGCUUAACCCGGAGAGGCCGUUCAAUACUGCAUAACUUGAGGGUGUCAGAGGGGAGCGGAAUUCCCGGGUGUAGCGGUAAAAUGCGCAGAGAUCGGGGAGGAACACCAGUGGCGGAAGGCGGUUCCCUGGGGCACAACCUGACGCUGAGAGACGAAAAGCUAGGGGAGCGAACAGGAUUAGAGACCCUGGUAGUCCUAGCCCCUGAACGAUGAAUGCUAGCUGUGCGGAUCGAAAUGGUUCCGUGCACGGAGCCGUACGCGGAUAAGCACUUCCGCCUCGGGGAGUACAGGCCGCAAGCGUUAAAACUCAAUACGAAUUGACGGGGGCCCCCGCACAAGCAUCGGAGCGUCUGCUUUAAUUCGAUGCUACACGAAGAACCUUACCUGGGUUUGACAUGUAGGUGGUAGUGAAUCGAAAGGUGAACGACCCUUCGGGGAGCCUACACAGGUGCUGCAUGGCUGUCGUCAGCUCGUGCCGUGAGGUGUCGGGUUAAGUCCCCUAACGAGCGCAACCCUUGCUCCUAGUUACAAGUGUCUAGGGGGACUGCCGGCGGAAAGCCGGAGCAAGGUGGGGAUGACGUCAAGUCAGCAUGGCCCUUAUAUCCAGGGCUACACACACGCUACAAUGGUCGGUACAAAGGGCAGCGAAACCGCGAGGCGGAGCGAAUCCGAGAAAAGCCGAUCGUAGUUCGGAUAG
RNAcentral lists this ribosomal RNA (1245 nucleotides) under uncultured organism. RNAcentral's name for it is "bacterial SSU rRNA". It matches the Rfam family "Bacterial small subunit ribosomal RNA", at positions 35 to 1300 of the family's 1533-position model. The record is from RNAcentral.